AUAUCAAUAAGCGGAGGAAAAGAAACCAACAGGGAUUGCCCUAGUAACGGCGAGUGAAGCGGCAACAGCUCAAAUUUGAAAUCUGGCUUCGGCCCGAGUUGUAAUUUGCAGAGGAAGCUUUGGGCGCGGCACCGACCGAGUCCCCUGGAACGGGGCGCCAUAGAGGGUGAGAGCCCCGUAUGGUCGGACGCCUAGCCUGUGUAAAGCUCCUUCGACGAGUCGAGUAGUUUGGGAAUGCUGCUCAAAAUGGGNAGGUAAAUUUCUUCUAAAGCUAAAUANCCGGCCNAGAGACCGAUAGCGCACAAGUAGAGUGAUCGAAAGAUGAAAAGCANCUUUGAAAAGAGGGUUAAAUNNAGCACGNUGAAAUUGUUGAAAGGGAAGCGCUUNGCGACCAGACNGUGCGCCGGNGGUGCUCAGCGGGCGUUCUCGCCCGUGCACUCGCNNNNNNCCCGGCGCAGGCCAGCGUCGGUUUGGGUGGGGGGAUAAAGGCGUCUGGAAUGUGGCNNCUCCGGGAGUGUUAUAGCCAGGCGUGCCAUNNCUCCGCCUAGACCGAGGUACGCGUUCUGCAAGGACGCUGGCGUAAUGNUCUCCAGCGA
RNAcentral lists this ribosomal RNA (596 nucleotides) under uncultured fungus. RNAcentral describes it as "partial 28S ribosomal RNA". It matches the Rfam family "Eukaryotic large subunit ribosomal RNA", at positions 40 to 647 of the family's 3401-position model. Lineage: Eukaryota; Fungi. The record is from RNAcentral.